GCAUUCGAACUGAGAUACGGACCAGAGUCCUAAAGGAGGCAGCAGUGGCGAAUCUUCCGCCAUGGGCGAAAGCCCCACGGAGCAUCGCCGCGAGAGUCCAGACGGAAUUCGGGCUGUAAAGCACUGUUAUUUGGGCCGAACGUCUAUAUGGCCAAUAUCCAUAGCUAGUGAGGGUACCGCAAGAGAACACCACUGCUAACUAUGUGCCAGCAGACGCGGG
Molecule: ribosomal RNA, 220 nt
Filed under: uncultured Megasphaera sp.
Lineage: Bacteria; Bacillati; Bacillota; Negativicutes; Veillonellales; Veillonellaceae
Description: partial 16S ribosomal RNA
Rfam family: Bacterial small subunit ribosomal RNA
Source: RNAcentral